UGCGUAGGCGGUGCUCUAAGUCGGAUGUGAAAACUCUGGGCUCAACCCAGAGCCUGCAUCCGAAACUGGAGUGCUAGAGUUCUGGAGGGGGUAGCGGAAUUCCUGGUGUAGCGGUGAAAUGCGUAGAUAUCAGGAGAACACCGGUGGCGAAGGCGGCUACCUGGACAGAGUCUGACGCUGAGGCACGAAAGCUAGGGGAGCAAACAGGAUUAGACUACCCUGGUAGUCCUAGCCCUAAACGAUGGAUACUUGCUGUAACUGGGAUUGAAUCCAGUUGUGGCGAAGCUAACGCAUUAAGUAUCCCGCCUGGGGAGUACGGUCGCAAGGCUGAA
Molecule: ribosomal RNA, 332 nt
Filed under: uncultured bacterium
Lineage: Bacteria
Description: bacterial SSU rRNA
Rfam family: Bacterial small subunit ribosomal RNA
Source: RNAcentral